RNAcentral lists this ribosomal RNA (222 nucleotides) under uncultured bacterium. RNAcentral describes it as "partial 16S ribosomal RNA". It matches the Rfam family "Bacterial small subunit ribosomal RNA", at positions 1278 to 1500 of the family's 1533-position model. The record is from RNAcentral.
AAAAGCGACCUCAGUUCGGAUUGAAGGCUGAAAUUCGCCUUCAUGAAGUCGGAAUUGCUAGUAAUGGCAGGUCAGCAUACUGCCGUGAAUACGUUCCCGGGCCUUGUACACACCGCCCGUCACACCAUGAGAGUUGGAGAUACCCGAAGCCUAUGAGCUAACUUUUAGAGGCAGUAGUCGAAGGUAGAAUCAAUGAUUGGGGUGAAGUCGUAACAAGGUAAC